RNAcentral lists this ribosomal RNA (77 nucleotides) under Cololejeunea gottschei. Its description in RNAcentral is "partial 5.8S ribosomal RNA". It matches the Rfam family "5.8S ribosomal RNA", at positions 79 to 154 of the family's 154-position model. From Rfam's summary of the family: 5.8S ribosomal RNA (5.8S rRNA) is a component of the large subunit of the eukaryotic ribosome. It is transcribed by RNA polymerase I as part of the 45S precursor that also contains 18S and 28S rRNA. The record is from RNAcentral. Lineage: Eukaryota; Viridiplantae; Streptophyta; Jungermanniopsida; Porellales; Lejeuneaceae.
AUUCCGUGAAUCAUCGAGUUUUUGAACGCAAGUUGCGCCCGAGGCUCGUCUGAGGGCAUGCCUGCCUGAGCGUCCCU